AUAAGGGGGAAAUGAUGGGAAAUGAUGUUUUACUGUAUAACAAUUUUAAUGCUUUGACAUUUUAAUAUUUAUAAAUGUUGUAGUUAUUUGAGAAUUUCACAGUCAAUGAACAUUUGUCACUUUCCUUCUAUCGUGUGUAUUCUUUCAAUAAAGAAACAUUCAUUUUCCUUUUGAAAAUACUCUUUCCUUUCUGCAAACCAAAACCUGAGUCCCCUCCCCACCAGCAAAUGACCCCUCCCCUAAUACUAGUCAGCUGUUUUCAUGGCUGCUUUUAAACCGGUUUGUGUUCAGCCUUAACAAAUUUCAGAAGAAUAUUUUAAGCAAUUUGCUUACAUAUUUUUGAUUCGUUUAACUUUGUUACUGUGUGUUUCUGGCAGAGUCGCCUGCAGUGCACCUCAGCUGAUUCACCCUUUCUGGACCUAUGGAAAGUUUGGUAUUCUUCUACAAUAGAAAACAGGCUUUGUGGUGACUGGGAGCCGACUUCUGAGCUCAAAUCUCCAAUGGAGCAACUCGACUCUUCAAAGAGCUCCAGGAAACACUGCAGCUUCUGUUUCGAAUUUGGACAGAAUCAGGAAGUUAGACGAAGCACUUC
This 592-nucleotide long non-coding RNA is filed under the name Naja naja (Indian cobra). RNAcentral describes it as "lncRNA (ENSNNAG00000018942.1)". Lineage: Eukaryota; Metazoa; Chordata; Lepidosauria; Squamata; Elapidae. The record is from RNAcentral.